Molecule: non-coding RNA, 3556 nt
Organism: Callithrix jacchus (white-tufted-ear marmoset)
Lineage: Eukaryota; Metazoa; Chordata; Mammalia; Primates; Cebidae
Source: RefSeq, a predicted model, not a curated record
GCAUGAACUACCAUGCCUGGCCCCUAAAGAUGAGAUUUGCAGGGGACAAACCUCCAAACCCAUAUCACCCUAUGCUCCAGUUAUGACUGUAUCCUCUCCCCCAGUCCCUGCAGGCCAAAGAGAUGGAGAAAGGCUUAGGGAGAGAGAAGGACCAAACACCCCUGCUCUCUUCCCACAAGAAGCCAGGCCUGCAGCACCCCAGCUAGGUUAAGUCAAGAUUAGAUUUAAUGUUAGAUGAGGUUUGGCGUUCUGAUUCUUACAUGGAAGUUGCCUUCUGAGGACCAGCUGGGGACAAUGUGUGACCCAAAACUGACCAUAGGAAAAUCAAGGACAUGCCAAUUUCAUGGUUACUUGCACUAUAUGGAUGCAUGGAACUGUGGAACAGAGCCCAGAGGUGGUCCAGAGCCUUGAGCUUGACAACUGGCUCUGGCACUUCCUCAAUGCAUGAGGCUGGGUGGGCACCUGCAUCUUCAUCUAUUGAAUGGGGAUAAUGGCCCCCUCUCACAAUGUAUGUGUCAGAGUCACUGAGUGAGCACAUGAGAAGUACUCAUGAUGGUGCUUGGCAGAGAGUAUAUGCUCAAUGCAGGUCAGCUGCUAUUAUUGUUAUGAAACUCUUUGAGCUGUUGUUUCCCUCCCGUGGAACAGCUGAGGUGCUGGCUUUAAAACCUGUCCACAAAGUCUUUGAUGCUGCUCCCAUUCAGUGGUAGGGUCUAUGUCCCCUCUCCUUGGACCUGCAGGCCUUCAUGACUGCCCUGACCAGCAGAGUAUGGCAGCACUAAGGCUGUGUGACUUCUGAGGCUGGCUCAUAAGGGCUCUGUGAUGCAGGUUCUACCCUGCUCUCCUUGGCCAUUUGCUCUGGGUGAAAGCCAGCUGCCCUGUAGGAGGCUACUGAUACUGAGGCUGCCAUGCUGUGAGGAGGUCCAGGCCACAGGGGGAGGCCACAGGUGGGUGUUCCGAGCCUCCUUCUGAGCUGCCCCAGACUCCUCUGGCAGCAGGCACUGAGCAUGUUCUGGGGUGGCUCAUGAGGUGACAGCAGUACUGGGAUGCUGGUGAGUGCCUCAGUGGGAGCUCCUUCUGUCCCCCUACCAACUCUUCGAUGUCAGGAUAGCACCAGAGCCUACCUGGGAGGCCACGAGCUAACACUCUUGAGAGGCAACACAGUAGGAAGACACACAGGUGUGUCAGAGAGCAGUCCUCAUAGUGAGAGUGCAGAAACCAGAGGCCAAGGCCGAAGAUUUUCCUGGACUUGCAGGCUGCCCAGGAAUCUUCCAAGAAAACCUGUCAGUUGGUAAAGCCACGUGGAGGCGGGACUAACAAAAUCUGGAAAUGUCUUCACCAGUUCCAAGGUACACACAAACAUUACUUGCCCUCUCUGGGGGUCAACGUUCUUUAUGAUUUUUUUCUCUCCAGGAAAAUAUUAGUUCAUUUAUAGAAACUAAACAUUACAUGUGGAGGGAAAAAUCAAAAACGUGGCAUUCCUUGACUUUUUUUCUCCACAGACACAGAAACUGAGAAGGUUUCUCCAUUUCCUUUCUCACAGACUAUUUGUUGGUGUGGAACUGCCCGCACAGUCAUUCCACAGGGGUGGAAAGUGGGGGGCAGUUCUCUGUGGGUCAGGGGUCACCACAGAGACCAAAGGCAGCCUCAGCCCACAGACCACUUCAGACGUGAAUCAAGGCCUCAGAGGGCCUGGAGACCUGGGCCGCUGUCAAUGGGAGGGCAGGUGGGCUGGGCAGAGGCACAGGCACUGCCUGGAAGAGGACCCGGCCACGCUGGUCUCGGAUCCACUGCCUCCUUUCGGCUCCUCAGUGUGCCAGUCCUUGCCCCUUGCAGCUUUUGCUGCCUGUUUCCCCCACUCAAAUGUGAGCUCUGGGGGGCAUGUUCUUGCCUUCUGUCACUGGGCACCUGGCUCGUAGCAAGCCCUUGGCCUGUAAGUCUUGGGUAAAUGAAUGAAUGAGCAUGUCUUAGGGCCUCUCCUUGGCAGGUAUGGGGGGUGUGCCUACUGGAAAGAGUACUGAGCUGGAGUCUAAAUCCCCUCCUGAGGAGCCAGGGGAGCCUGCGUUCCUCCCAUUCCUGGGACUGCAAGAGGCACAUUCCUGUCCCUGAGUCUGGUUGGGCUCCUGCCACGCAGCUCAGUCUGACUGCCAGGUCCAGAAAGGCAUUCCUGCAGCUGCCCCUCUGGCCCCACCCUCCCCUGGACCCCGGCCUGCACCACAGGUACAGCAGCAUCUGCUCUGUCUUCUGAGGCUGCUAGUGGGAAGCUGGGACCACUGAGUGUGUCUGAAGCCUUCCAGGCACUCCUAGACACUCUGGUGAUCAAUGAAAACCUUUACAUCCUGCUUCCAGGGCUGAAGCCAGGGAUUUGGAAAAUUGGUUGAAAACACUCCUAUGAGCUGGGGCUUGCUCUGCUGUGGAAAACUGCCAGCAUCAGCACCCCUUGACUUCUCCCAAGGCUGUGCCGAGUCAGCAGUUGGCCCACUCUGGAGCUGCCUCCGAGGACCAGGUGCCUAUAGGGCCCUGUGAGCAACUUGGAGGCUGUGGCUGAUGGUGUGAGGACAGGCGACCCCGAGAUUUCUGUGCUGCGCUCAGGGCGCUUUCAGUCUGGUGGGGAAGACAGACACAGACAAAUAAGCACACAGCUAACUGUGCCAUUACUGCAGAGGGAACUGCCACAGAGGGGCAUGAGGGCCAGCUGUGGGAAGGAGCCGGGGUCAGUGUGUGCCUAUAAAAAUCAGAUAGUAAAUAAUUCAGGCUCUGCAAGCCACAGGGUCUUUGUUUCAACCACUCAACUCUGCCACUGCUGUGUGACAGCAGCCACAGGCAAUAUGUCAACCAAACGGGAUGGCUAUGCCCAUAUGAAAACAGGGGGCAUAUUUGUCCCACAGUUUGCCAGGGCCUGCUUUACAGGGCCUGACCUGAUCAGGGGUGGGGGUGAUAGUAGAAAGAAGGCUUCCCCGAGGCAGUGAUGUUUAGCUAAAAGAUGCAGGCUGAUUCAGUGACGGAGGCAGAAUCACAAUGUCGACAAUUAUGAUAAUCACAUCACUAUGAUAAAGUUCCACUAACAUGUGUGUUCUGUGUUGGGCACUGUGCUAACAACACAGCUCUAUGAAGGAGGGAGAUUUUAUGUCCACUUUACAGAUGGAGACACUGAGGCUUCUGAGUAUCCUGGAUGGUCUGUUUGCACAAUUCAGUUGCAUUCUUCGCCCUGCCCACUUGCCACUUCUGAUGGGGGAAGGCUGCCCCUUGAGAUGUAUCUCCUGGACCCCUUACCCCCAGCUUCCUAUUGGGUUUGGCCAAUGAAAGGCUCUGGCAGCAGCCUGGGGAUUAGGGGAGAGAGAGGUCAGGGAUUUCUCUCUGCUCCCUCCCUGCUUCCCCCUCCUUGCCCACAGACCCUGCACAGCCAACCAUCCUCCAGAACUCAGCCAUCCCUGGGGUUGUUAACACUUCUUCCCCAUGCCCUUCAGCCUAGGACCCCAUCCUCCCCAGGAUGCUGGGCUGCCCCAUGGGUCCUUUGUCAUGCUUAUUGGUUCUGUUCAUUAAAGUUUCUUCAUGUGAA